AAAACGACUCUCGGCAACGGAUAUCUCGGCUCUCGCAUCGAUGAAGAACGUAGCGAAAUGCGAUACUUGGUGUGAAUUGCAGAAUCCCGUGAACCAUCGAGUCUUUGAACGCAAGUUGCGCCCGAAGCCGUCAGGCUGAGAGCACGUCUGCCUGGGCGUCACGC
Molecule: ribosomal RNA, 164 nt
Filed under: Solanum pungetium
Lineage: Eukaryota; Viridiplantae; Streptophyta; Magnoliopsida; Solanales; Solanaceae
Description: 5.8S ribosomal RNA
Rfam family: 5.8S ribosomal RNA
About the family: 5.8S ribosomal RNA (5.8S rRNA) is a component of the large subunit of the eukaryotic ribosome. It is transcribed by RNA polymerase I as part of the 45S precursor that also contains 18S and 28S rRNA.
Source: RNAcentral